GCAGAUUCACUGGCAGUAGAAGGUGAGAACGUUCUGCUGGUUCCCUCGGAUGAGGACUGCAGGGCAGUGGAGCCCACAGUAACUGAUGAUUUACCUGAAGCAAGUGUCGCGCUCCAACUCUGAGGCUGUCUGCAAAGAAGGGCGUGUAAAACGAGCGCACCUUCCUCUUGGUCAUCCACUUCACCACCCAGUCGGUAGCAUCCUGUGGCCUAGUCUGCCUCUCCUGAUCCUAGAAGACACAGCAGCUCAACUAAUAAGAGCAGCAGUAGUAUAUCAUGAGGCUGACGUGUUUGGUGAAGGAGCCAACGAAGUCCACCAGUGCAGGUCGCUGGUUUGGGGGCCCAGUGAGGACGAGGCAUUGGGGCCUUGUCAAGUUGACAAAAAACAACACAGUCACACACUGAAUGUUCACAAUGUUACUGAUUAGACAGAUGCUUAUAGUUAGCAGAUGUUUGAGGAAAGCGUUGACUCAAAGGAUUUCACCUAAAAUUUUUCACAUGAUCCUCGACACCGGACAGAGAGCAUGUGUAUGACAGAGCCAUGUUGUACGUUCCUGCCUGAACUGAUGACCCCCAGUUUACCUCUGUGGAUUUCCAAAAAACACUCAGAUGAGGUGGGUGUAAAAAAUUCCCAAAUCAAAACAUUCUGAUUUAAACAUUUUUACUUACUUGGCUU
This is a long non-coding RNA of Betta splendens (Siamese fighting fish), 675 nucleotides long. RefSeq lists it as uncharacterized. The record is from RefSeq and is a predicted model, not a curated record. The transcript is spliced from 3 exons. Lineage: Eukaryota; Metazoa; Chordata; Actinopteri; Anabantiformes; Osphronemidae.